AUGGCCGACGCGGGUCAAAGUGUAGUAACUGUUAUUAUCAGCUUAAUAUCUGAUACGGGUUGUAUUUGGACGCAAGAUAUUAAACUCAUUUUUGCAAGUUGGCGAAGUGCUUGAAGCCUGCUUCACCUCUGCCGCGGGUCGGCCCGGUAUUGCACCAUCUCCGGGAUUCUUGACCUACGGACA
This 183-nucleotide small nuclear RNA is filed under the name Dermacentor silvarum. RNAcentral describes it as "U2 spliceosomal RNA". It matches the Rfam family "U2 spliceosomal RNA". From Rfam's summary of the family: U2 is a small nuclear RNA (snRNA) component of the spliceosome (involved in pre-mRNA splicing). Complementary binding between U2 snRNA (in an area lying towards the 5' end but 3' to hairpin I) and the branchpoint sequence (BPS) of the intron results the bulging out of an unpaired adenosine, on the BPS, which initiates a nucleophilic attack at the intronic 5' splice site, thus starting the first of two transesterification reactions that mediate splicing. The record is from RNAcentral. Lineage: Eukaryota; Metazoa; Arthropoda; Arachnida; Ixodida; Ixodidae.